CAUCGCUGACGAGUGGCGGACGGGUGAGUAAUGCUUGGGAACUUGCCUUUGCGAGGGGGAUAACAGUUGGAAACGACUGCUAAUACCGCAUAAUGUCUUCGGACCAAACGGGGCUUAGGCUCCGGCGCAAAGAGAGGCCCAAGUGAGAUUAGCUAGUUGGUAAGGUAAAGGCUUACCAAGGCAACGAUCUCUAGCUGUUCUGAGAGGAAGAUCAGCCACACUGGAACUGAGACACGGUCCAGACU
Molecule: ribosomal RNA, 245 nt
Filed under: Gymnodinium catenatum
Lineage: Eukaryota; Dinophyceae; Gymnodiniales; Gymnodiniaceae
Description: partial Bacterial small subunit ribosomal RNA
Rfam family: Bacterial small subunit ribosomal RNA
Source: RNAcentral